AGAUUGAGCGCUGGCGGAAUGCUUUACACAUGCAAGUCGAGCGGCAGCGCGGGGCAACCCUGGCGGCGAGCGGCGAACGGGUGAGUAAUACAUCGGAACGUGUCCUGGAGUGGGGGAUAGCUCGGCGAAAGCCGGAUUAAUACCGCAUAAGCUCUGAGGAGGAAAGCGGGGGAUUCGCAAGGACCUCGCGCUGUUGGAGCGGCCGAUGUCGGAUUAGCUAGUGUGGGUAAGCCACAAGGCGACGAUCCGUAGCUGGUCUGAGAGGAUGAUCAGCCACACUGGAACUGAGACACGGUCCAGACUCCUACGGGAGGCAGCAGUGGGAAUUUGGACAAUGGGGCAACCUGAUCCAGCCAUUCCGCGUGAGUGAAGAAGGCUUACGGUGUAAGUCUCGUUCGACGAAGAAUGGUACGCUAACACCUGUGACUGAUGACGUACCGUAAGAAGAAGCGACGACUAACGUACGU
This 467-nucleotide ribosomal RNA is filed under the name uncultured soil bacterium. Its description in RNAcentral is "bacterial SSU rRNA". It matches the Rfam family "Bacterial small subunit ribosomal RNA", at positions 26 to 506 of the family's 1533-position model. The record is from RNAcentral.